RNAcentral lists this ribosomal RNA (460 nucleotides) under uncultured bacterium. RNAcentral's name for it is "partial 16S ribosomal RNA". It matches the Rfam family "Bacterial small subunit ribosomal RNA", at positions 338 to 795 of the family's 1533-position model. The record is from RNAcentral.
CCUACGGGAGGCAGCAGUGAGGAAUAUUGGUCAAUGGGCGAGAGCCUGAACCAGCCAAGUCGCGUGAAGGAUGACGGCCCUACGGGUUGUAAACUUCUUUUGUCAGGGAGCAAUUGGGUCCACGCGUGGGCUUUGCGAGAGUACCUGAAGAAAAAGCAUCGGCUAACUCCGUGCCAGCUGCCGCGGUUAUACGGGGGAUGCGAGCGUUAUCCGGAUUUAUUGGGUUUAAAGGGUGCGUAGGCGGAAUAUCAAGUCAGCGUGAAAAAUUCGGGGCUCAACCCCGUCGUGCCGUUGAAACUGAUGUUCUUGAGUGGGCGAGAAGUAUGCGGAAUGCGUGGUGUAGCGGUGAAAUGCAUAGAUAUCACGCAGAACUCCGAUUGCGAAGGCAGCAUACCGGCGCCCAACUGACGCUGAAGCACGAAAGCGUGGGUAUCGAACAGGAUUAGAUACCCCUGUAGUC